RNAcentral lists this ribosomal RNA (835 nucleotides) under uncultured bacterium. Its description in RNAcentral is "bacterial SSU rRNA". It matches the Rfam family "Bacterial small subunit ribosomal RNA", at positions 667 to 1502 of the family's 1533-position model. The record is from RNAcentral.
CUUCUGUGACGUAAAAUGCGUAGAUAUCAGAAGGAACCCGGCGGCGAAAGCGACUCUCUGGUCCGAAACUGACGCUGAGUGUGCGAAAGCUAGGGGAGCAAACGGGAUUAGAUACCCCGGUAGUCCUAGCCGUAAACGAUGGGCACUAAGUAGAGGGGUUUUGAUUAUUUCUCUGCCGGGAGCUAACGCAUUAAGUGCCCCGCCUGGGGAGUACGCAGCAAGGCUAAAACUCAAAAGAAUUGAACGGGGGCUCGCACAACGGUGGAGCAUGUGGCUUAAUUCGACGCAACGCGAAGAACCUUACCGGGGCUUGACAUGGUAGAAGUAGAAUCCUGAAAGGGUGACGAUCGGUAUCCAGUCCGAAGCUAUCACAGGUGUUGCAUGGCUGUCGUCAGCUCGUGUCGUGAGACGUUGGGUUAAGUCCCCUAACGAGCGAAACCCUUGUCAUUAGUUGCUAACGGGUAAUGCUGAGCACUUUAGAGAGACUGCCGUCGUUAAGACGGAGGAANWGGGGGCGACGUCAAGUCAUCAUGGCCCUUAUGUCCCGGGCUGCACACGUGCUACAAUGGUCGGUACAAAGGGAUGCUAAGUCGCGAGAUGGUGCGAAACCUAUAAAGCCGAUCUCAGUUCAGAUUGGAGGCUGAAACUCGCCUCCAUGAAGUUGGAAUCGCUAGUAAUCGCGGAUCACGUACGCCGCUGUGAAUAUGUUCCCGAGCNUGUACACACCGCCCGUAACCACCCAAGCAAGAUGCACCUAAAAUCGCCUGCCUAACCCGUAAGGGAGGGAAGUGCCUAAGGUGUGUUUUGUAGAGGACUAAGCGUAACAAGGUAACUC